RNAcentral lists this long non-coding RNA (1829 nucleotides) under Olea europaea subsp. europaea. The record is from RNAcentral. Lineage: Eukaryota; Viridiplantae; Streptophyta; Magnoliopsida; Lamiales; Oleaceae.
AUCGACUGGAGGAGAAUUGAUUCCAACUGAUCCUAAAAUUAAGCGCACCUUUCAUCAACUGCAAAGAGAGGCUAGAGAAGCAUAGUUACAAAUGGCUAAUGAACCGACAACCCUAUUAUCCCAGCCAAUGAAGGAGAGGCGGUAGAUGAAGAAAAUGAGAUUUUGGGAGAUUUCUUGACUCCUCAAGUAAUUCAAAGCCAAUUCAGCAUAGUGUAUCCACCGUUUGGGCAGCCUAAUUUUCAAUUGAAGACUAAUGUGAUACAGCUGUUCUAGAAUGGACACCAAUUUUAUGGAAGAGCCGAAGAAAAUCGACAUACACACAUAUCUCAAUUCUUGGAUAUGUGUCAACACUUUAUGUAUCAAGGAAUUUCAGAUGAUGCUAUUACACUAAGGUUGCUUCCACAUACAAUACGGGAUAGGGCACUUGAAUGGUUCGAUUCACUUCCUGUUGCAAGCAUUACUACUAGGAACGAGUUGGCUCAUAAAUUCUGCACGAAGUUCUUUUCGCCAGCCAAGAUAGCAAAACUGAGAUAUGAUAUAUCAACAUUCAGUCAAGGAGAAUCUGAAUCAUUUGACGAAGCCUGGAAUAGAUUUAAAAACAUGCUCCAGAAGUGCCCUCAAUAUGGAUUUAACAAAAAGACCUAAAUCCGAUUAUUCUAUAUAGGGUUACUUCCGUACCACAAAAGCAUGGUGAACUCAGCAUCAAAUGGCUCAAUACCCACACAAACAGUUGAUGGGGCAUUGGAAUUAUUCGAGAGAAUGGCUACCACUUUAGCCAUGUGGUCUUCUGAAAGGGUGAUCCUAAGGAAGACUUCGGCGGUCUAAGACAUAGAUUCUUAUUCGGCUAUAUAUGUAAAGAUCAACUAUCUGUAUCACAAGGUGGAAAGCAUAUCAAAGGCAGCACAAGCUAAGAAGAGUAACUGUGAGGAAUGUGAAGCUGAGCAUAAAACAACAGAAUGCCCAAUCUUAAUGCAAGGAAUUGAGCAGGUAGACUAUGCACAGUUCGUAUGGGAAAACAUACAAUCCCAAUUGGAAGAAGCAUCCCAACUUCUCUUGGAGCAAUUAGAAUCAGAAUAUGCCAUAGGGACAGUUUCAAUAGCAAGAGAAGAGGCUUCAAUUAGAAGAGAUAUUAGGGAAAUUCAUGGAAAAAACCGAAGCCACUAUUCAAAACCAAAAUGCCGCCAUCAAAAUUUUGGAGAAUUGGAUGGGGCAGCUAGCCAUUGCAUUGACUGGUAGAGCACCGGGUAAUUUGCCAAGUAACACAGAAAUUAACCCCAAGGUGUACGUUAAGGCCAUUACCGCUCGAAGUGGGGUGCAACUACCUGAAAUACAUGUUAAAAGGCCGUUGGUGUAUAAGAAUAGGUUUAAUACAUCUCAAGAGAGAGUGUUGGAUAGAUUUAAGAGCAUUGAUUCAUCAACAAUUCAAUCGCGUUGUCAUUUUGUGAAACUAGGGUUUAGGGUAAUCAUUGCAUAGGAAUUUGCAUCAUAGUGCAUUUAAUUUUCAUUGAAUACAACCAAUUUGCGUUCUAGACAAUUGAUUUGCAUUUUAAUUCGUUAAAACAUCGUUGUGCAUAUCGUGUUCAUUCCAAUCAUCAAUUUUGCAUAAUUAGGAUUUUCUUUCCAAAUUAGGGUUUCAUUUAGGUAAAAAUUUCACUUUGAGUAAUUUAGUUUGGUUAAGGGUACGAUAGAUAAGAUUGUACUAAUCAAUCUAUGUGGGAUGAUAUUUGAACUCAAUUGAUCCACUUUCUUACUUGUUAACGAACCGUACACUUGCAGUGAUUUAAAUCGAAAGAAAAUAUUUCGUAAACAAUUUCAAUUUCAGAAGAAUU